AGUGAACGCUGGCGGUAGGCCUAACACAUGCAAGUCGAACGGCAGCACAGUAAGAGCUUGCUCUUACGGGUGGCGAGUGGCGGACGGGUGAGGAAUACAUCGGAAUCUACUUUUUCGUGGGGGAUAACGUAGGGAAACUUACGCUAAUACCGCAUACGACCUACGGGUGAAAGCAGGGGAUCUUCGGACCUUGCGCGAUUGAAUGAGCCGAUGUCGGAUUAGCUGGUUGGCGGGGUAAAGGCCCACCAAGGCGACGAUCCGUAGCUGGUCUGAGAGGAUGAUCAGCCACACUGGAACUGAGACACGGUCCAGACUCCUACGGGAGGCAGCAGUGGGGAAUAUUGGACAAGGGGCGAAAGCCUGCUCCAGCCAUACCGCGUGGGUGAAGAAGGCCUUCGGGUUGUAAAGCCCUUUUGUUGGGAAAGAAAAGCAGCAGGUUAAUACCCCGCUGUUCUGACGGUACCCAAAGAAUAAGCACCGGCUAACUUCGU
This 491-nucleotide ribosomal RNA is filed under the name uncultured bacterium. RNAcentral describes it as "partial 16S ribosomal RNA". It matches the Rfam family "Bacterial small subunit ribosomal RNA", at positions 29 to 506 of the family's 1533-position model. The record is from RNAcentral.